GUGUUUAUUUUACCUUGUUGCUUCGGCGGGCCCGCCUUAACUGGCCGCCGGGGGGCUUACGCCCCCGGGCCCGCGCCCGCCGAAGACACCCUCGAACUCUGUCUGAAGAUUGUAGUCUGAGUGAAAAUAUAAAUUAUUUAAAACUUUCAACAACGGAUCUCUUGGUUCCGGCAUCGAUGAAGAACGCAGCGAAAUGCGAUACGUAAUGUGAAUUGCAAAUUCAGUGAAUCAUCGAGUCUUUGAACGCACAUUGCGCCCCCUGGUAUUCCGGGGGGCAUGCCUGUCCGAGCGUCAUUUCUGCCCUCAAGCACGGCUUGUGUGUUGGGCCCCGUCCUCCGAUCCCGGGGGACGGGCCCGAAAGGCAGCGGCGGCACCGCGUCCGGUCCUCGAGCGUAUGGGGCUUUGUCACCCGCUCUGUAGGCCCGGCCGGCGCUUGCCGAUCAACCCAAAUUUUUAUCCAGGUUGACCUCGGAUCAGGUAGGGAUACCCGCUGAACUUAAGCAUAUCAA
This 509-nucleotide ribosomal RNA is filed under the name Penicillium chrysogenum. Its description in RNAcentral is "eukaryotic LSU rRNA". The stretch from base 142 to 294 matches the Rfam family "5.8S ribosomal RNA". Lineage: Eukaryota; Fungi; Ascomycota; Eurotiomycetes; Eurotiales; Aspergillaceae. The record is from RNAcentral.